RNAcentral lists this long non-coding RNA (259 nucleotides) under Lathyrus oleraceus (garden pea). RNAcentral's name for it is "Pisum sativum (pea) long non-coding RNA (PSAT_LNC016989)". The record is from RNAcentral. Lineage: Eukaryota; Viridiplantae; Streptophyta; Magnoliopsida; Fabales; Fabaceae.
UUUUAUUUUUAUCUUUUUACAUAUUUCUCCUUUUUUUUUCAACUUUUUUUAAUAAUUUUACGGACUCACUACAUUUAUGUAAUGAGAAAAUCGAGACCAUUUAAAUUUUAUUAAAAUAAUUAGAUUUUGAAUUUAUCCAACAAAUUAGUAUUAAAAAUAUGAGUUAAAUGUGUUUUUGGUCUUAAAAGAAAUUUGUUGGUAAUUCUACUUCAUAUUUUUCUUAUAAAUGUUCUGUUUCACAUUUCUAAUGACAUUUUUU